RNAcentral lists this ribosomal RNA (468 nucleotides) under uncultured bacterium. Its description in RNAcentral is "partial 16S ribosomal RNA". It matches the Rfam family "Bacterial small subunit ribosomal RNA", at positions 28 to 507 of the family's 1533-position model. The record is from RNAcentral.
GACGAACGCUGGCGGCGUGCUUAACACAUGCAAGUCGAACGGAAAGGCCCUGCUUUUGUGGGGUGCUCGAGUGGCGAACGGGUGAGUAACACGUGAGUAACCUGCCCUUGACUUUGGGAUAACUUCAGGAAACUGGGGCUCAUACCGGAUAGGAGCUCCUGCUGCUUGGUGGGGGUUGGAAAGUUUCGGCGGUUGGGGAUGGACUCGCGGCUUAUCAGCUUGUUGGUGGGGUAGUGGCUUACCAAGGCUUUGACGGGUAGCCGGCCUGAGAGGGUGACCGGCCACAUUGGGACUGAGAUACGGCCCAGACUACUAAGGGAGGCAGCAGUGGGGAAUAUUGCACGAUGGGCCGAAGCCGGAUGCAGCAACGCCGCGUGCGGGAUGAUGGCCUUCGGGUUGUAAACCGUUUUCGCCUGUGACGAAGCGUGAGUGACGGUAAUGGGUAAAGAAGCACCGGCUAACUACGUG